RNAcentral lists this ribosomal RNA (506 nucleotides) under uncultured bacterium. Its description in RNAcentral is "partial 16S ribosomal RNA". It matches the Rfam family "Bacterial small subunit ribosomal RNA", at positions 30 to 523 of the family's 1533-position model. The record is from RNAcentral.
AUUGAACGCUGGCGGCAGGCCUAACACAUGCAAGUCGGGCGGUAACAGGAAUCAGCUUGCUGAUUCGCUGACGAGCGGCGGACGGGUGAGUAAUGUCUGGGAAACUGCCUGAUGGAGGGGGAUAACUACUGGAAACGGCAGCUAAUACCGCAUAACGUCUACGGACCAAAGUGGGGGACCUUCGGGCCUCAUGCCAUCAGAUGUGCCCAGCUGGGAUUAGCUAGUAGGUGGGGUAACGGCUCACCUAGGCGACGAUCCCUAGCUGGUCUGAGAGGAUGACCAGCCACACUGGAACUGAGACACGGUCCAGACUCCUACGGGCGGCAGCAGUGGGGAAUAUUGCACAAUGGGCGCAAGCCUGAUGCAGCCAUGCCGCGUGUAUGAGGAAGGCCUUCGGGUUGUAAAGUACUUUCAGCGGGGAGGAAGGUGUUGUGGUUAAUAACCGCAGCAAUUGACGUUACCCGCAGAAGAAGCACCGGCUAACUCCGUGCCAGCAGCCGCCGUAA